RNAcentral lists this unclassified non-coding RNA (240 nucleotides) under soil metagenome. RNAcentral's name for it is "partial contains 5.8S ribosomal RNA, internal transcribed spacer 2, and large subunit ribosomal RNA". The record is from RNAcentral.
AACCUAGCACACCUGCGGUGUGUACCUGCGGAGGGAUCAUUACUGAGUGUAAAAACUCCCAAACCCAUUGUGAACAUACCACUGUUGCUUCGGCGGAUACGCCCCGGGCGCGCUCUUCACAGGGCGUGCCCCGGAACCAGGCGCCCGCCGGGGGACCGAAACUCUUGUUUUCUUAGGAUCUCUGAGUGUGAUUAUUAAAUAAAUCAAAACUUUCAACAACGGAUCUCAGAUCGGAAGAGC